Molecule: ribosomal RNA, 484 nt
Filed under: uncultured bacterium
Lineage: Bacteria
Description: partial 16S ribosomal RNA
Rfam family: Bacterial small subunit ribosomal RNA
Source: RNAcentral
AUUGAACGCUGGCGGCAGGCCUAACACAUGCAAGUCGAGCGGAUGAAGGGAGCUUGCUCCUGGAUUCCGCGGCGGACGGGUGAGUAAUGCCUAGGAAUCUGCCUGGUAGUGGGGGAUAACGUCCGGAAACGGGCGCUAAUACCGCAUACGUCCUGAGGGAGAAAGUGGGGGAUCUUCGGACCUCACGCUAUCAGAUGAGCCUAGGUCGGAUUAGCUAGUUGGUGGGGUAAAGGCCUACCAAGGCGACGAUCCGUAACUGGUCUGAGAGGAUGAUCAGUCACACUGGAACUGAGACACGGUCCAGACUCCUACGGGAGGCAGCAGUGGGGAAUAUUGGACAAUGGGCGAAAGCCUGAGCCAGCCAUGCCGCGUGUGUGAAGAAGGUCUUCGGAUUGUAAAGCACUUUAAGUUGGGAGGAAGGGCAGUAAGAUAAUACAUUGCUGUUUUGACGUUACCAACAGAAUAAGCACCGGCUAACUUCGUG